GAGGGUAUAGCUCAGUGGUAGAGCAUGUGCUUAGCAUGCACAAGGUCCUGGGUUCAGUCCCCAGUACCUCCA
RNAcentral lists this transfer RNA (72 nucleotides) under Camelus bactrianus (Bactrian camel). It matches the Rfam family "tRNA". From Rfam's summary of the family: Transfer RNA (tRNA) molecules are approximately 80 nucleotides in length. Their secondary structure includes four short double-helical elements and three loops (D, anti-codon, and T loops). Further hydrogen bonds mediate the characteristic L-shaped molecular structure. tRNAs have two regions of fundamental functional importance: the anti-codon, which is responsible for specific mRNA codon recognition, and the 3' end, to which the tRNAs corresponding amino acid is attached (by aminoacyl-tRNA synthetases). tRNAs cope with the degeneracy of the genetic code in two manners: having more than one tRNA (with a specific anti-codon) for a particular amino acid; and 'wobble' base-pairing, i.e. permitting non-standard base-pairing at the 3rd anti-codon position. Lineage: Eukaryota; Metazoa; Chordata; Mammalia; Artiodactyla; Camelidae. The record is from Rfam by way of RNAcentral. RNAcentral also lists the same sequence under 1 other name.